GGAAGUAAAAGUCGUAAUAAGGUUUCCGUAGGUGAACCUGCGGAAGGAUCAUUAAAGUUAUAGUCCCCCGGCCCUCUGGGCUGGGGUCUUCUAUACCACCCUUUGUUUAUUACACCUUUGUUGCUUUGGCAGGCCUGCCCUCGGGCUGCUGGCUCCGGCCGGCUCGCGUCUGCCAGAGGACCUAAACUCUGUCUGUAUAUGAAGUCUGAGUACUAUAUAAUAGUUAAAACUUUCAACAACGGAUCUCUUGGUUCUG
This 256-nucleotide unclassified non-coding RNA is filed under the name plant metagenome. RNAcentral describes it as "partial contains small subunit ribosomal RNA, internal transcribed spacer 1, and 5.8S ribosomal RNA". The stretch from base 1 to 54 matches the Rfam family "Eukaryotic small subunit ribosomal RNA", at positions 1778 to 1831 of the family's 1831-position model. The record is from RNAcentral.